Molecule: non-coding RNA, 468 nt
Organism: Manis javanica (Malayan pangolin)
Lineage: Eukaryota; Metazoa; Chordata; Mammalia; Pholidota; Manidae
Source: RefSeq, a predicted model, not a curated record
UUCCCCAGACCUCCCUGCUACAUUUCUGGCUGGUCUGCUGGCCUAUCGCUUUUCCCAGCCACUACUGAGACCUCAGCCUACCUGAUAUUGGCCUCCCUGAUGGUAUGACACUGAGAUCGCUAUUGUUUCUGGCAGUGUCUCUGGGUGUGGAAUUUUCUCCCCUUGGCUCCACACAGUGCACCCCCUUUCCCUCCACUCUGAUAGACCUGCUGCACCAUGAAGCUGAACCGGAGAAAGCUUCUAGAGGCUGCCUGCAUUCCUUGGCUUGGGGCCCUUCCAGCUUCAACGGCAGCAAUGACUGGCUGUAGACCAGUGUGACCUUCUCACACUGCCUCGCUCUUCCCCACUUAGGGAACCCUUGUGAUCACAUUGGGCCCACUCAGAUAAGAGAUCCGGGCCCGUGCAGUGGGUAUUGCAUCCCUGGGGCAGUGAUGUCCUGGAGCUCAGUGCACUUGAAUGUAAGGAGAG